CCUACGGGAGGCAGCAGUGGGGAAUUUUCCGCAAUGGGCGAAAGCCUGACGGAGCAAUACCGCGUGAGGGAGGAAGGCUCUUGGGUUGUAAACCUCUUUUUUCAGGGAAGAUAAUGACGGUACCUGAGGAAUAAGCAUCGGCUAACUCCGUGCCAGCAGCCGCGGUAAUACGGAGGAUGCAAGCGUUAUCCGGAAUGAUUGGGCGUAAAGCGUCCGCAGGUGGUUUUAAAAGUCUGUUGUUAAAGCGUGAGGCUUAACCUCAUAAGGGCAAUGGAAACUGUAAGACUAGAGUACGUUCGGGGCAAGGGGAAUUCCCAGUGUAGCGGUGAAAUGCGUAGAGAUUGGGAAGAACACCGGUGGCGAAAGCGCCUUGCUAGGCCGUAACUGACACUGAGGGACGAAAGCUAGGGGAGCGAAUGGGAUUAGAUACCCCAGUAGUCCUAGCCGUAAACGAUGGAUACUAGGCGUUGUCUGUAUCGACCCGGACAGUGCCGUAGCUAACGCGUUAAGUAUCCCGCCUGGGGGUACGCACGCAAGUGUGAACUCAAUGAAUUGACCGGNNGAGANGCGACGCGACGACGAGGAGAG
This 588-nucleotide ribosomal RNA is filed under the name uncultured bacterium. Its description in RNAcentral is "bacterial SSU rRNA". It matches the Rfam family "Bacterial small subunit ribosomal RNA", at positions 338 to 944 of the family's 1533-position model. The record is from RNAcentral.